This 301-nucleotide ribosomal RNA is filed under the name uncultured bacterium. RNAcentral describes it as "partial 16S ribosomal RNA". It matches the Rfam family "Bacterial small subunit ribosomal RNA", at positions 509 to 809 of the family's 1533-position model. The record is from RNAcentral.
CAGCCGCCGCGGGAAUACGUAGGUGGCGAGCGUUGUCCGGAAUCAUUGGGCGUAAAGGGAGCGCAGGCGGGCAUGUAAGUCUUUCUUAAAAGUUCGGGGCUCAACCCCGUGAUGGGAAAGAAACUACAUGUCUUGAGUACAGGAGAGGAAAGCGGAAUUCCCAGUGUAGCGGUGAAAUGCGUAGAUAUUGGGAGGAACACCAGUGGCGAAGGCGGCUUUCUGAACUGCAACUGACGCUGAGGCUCGAAAGCCAGGGGAGCGAACGGGAUUAGAGACCCCAGUAGUCCCUGUCUCUUAUACA